RNAcentral lists this long non-coding RNA (658 nucleotides) under Triticum aestivum (bread wheat). RNAcentral describes it as "long non-coding RNA (TAES_LNC024582)". The record is from RNAcentral. Lineage: Eukaryota; Viridiplantae; Streptophyta; Magnoliopsida; Poales; Poaceae.
GUAUAACCCGCGCUACUACCAAGUACUAGCAGUAGCCCGUGAUGUACACCCCGCGCUACUACUUUGGGUAGACCGGGUCAGCCGGUGGGCAAUCCUCCACCCCAUGCUACCACUAUCACACAAGUCUUCCCGUAUCCCCAUCCCACGCAAAAACAAUCCCCAUCCCGAUCCCACGCUGGUGCGGCGCCUCCAUCCCAAUCCCCAUCCCGAUCUCCUUCCCCACCUCCACCUCUAGACGACCCCGACGGCCAGAUCACGCCGGAGCCUGCGGUCCUCCUCCACCUUCAACUCCUCUCCUCUCCGGUUGCGCCGCCACCCUGUUCGUGGUCGAGCCGCGGCGAGCAGCAGAGGACCGCCGCUGGCUCGUCCACAACCAAUCGGCGAGCAGCAGAGCAGAGGACCCCAUAGCUGCCUACCGUGCCAAGCUCCCUCCCUCCUCGUGAACGAAGCCCUACCCCACGGCCAUGGCUAGGUUUGUGCAGUUUUUGCCCAUCUCAUCUGGUGAGUUCCCUUUCAUCCAAGAAGAAGCUCCUGCAGAUCCUUCUACCUCCGGUCUCCCUCUGACCUAAGUGUUUUUGGUUUUGUGGCCGACGUGUCCAGUGUGCAGGUCCCUUCUCUGAGAGGGUGCUGCUCACGCUGGAGGAGAAGGAGGUGCNNN